RNAcentral lists this ribosomal RNA (467 nucleotides) under uncultured bacterium. RNAcentral describes it as "partial 16S ribosomal RNA". It matches the Rfam family "Bacterial small subunit ribosomal RNA", at positions 28 to 506 of the family's 1533-position model. The record is from RNAcentral.
GACGAACGCUGGCGGCGUGCUUAACACAUGCAAGUCGAACGGAAAGGCCCUGCUUUUGUGGGGUGCUCGAGUGGCGAACGGGUGAGUAACACGUGAGUAACCUGCCCUUGACUUUGGGAUAACUUCAGGAAACUGGGGCUAAUACCGGAUAGGAGCUCCUGCUGCAUGGUGGGGGUUGGAAAGUUUCGGCGGUUGGGGAUGGACUCGCGGCUUAUCAGCUUGUUGGUGGGGUAGUGGCUUACCAAGGCUUUGACGGGUAGCCGGCCUGAGAGGGUGACCGGCCACAUUGGGACUGAGAUACGGCCCAGACUCCUACGGGAGGCAGCAGUGGGGAAUAUUGCACAAUGGGCGGAAGCCUGAGGCAGCAACGCCGCGUGCGGGAUGACGGCCUUCGGGUUGGAAACCGCUUUCGCCUGUGACGAAGCGUGAGUGACGGUAAUGGGUAAAGAAGCACCGGCUAACUACGU